Molecule: long non-coding RNA, 260 nt
Filed under: dengue virus type 2
Lineage: Riboviria; Orthornavirae; Kitrinoviricota; Flasuviricetes; Amarillovirales; Flaviviridae
Description: Dengue virus type 2 partial sfRNA2
Rfam family: Flavivirus DB element (bases 170-241)
Source: RNAcentral
AAGAAGUCAGGCCACUACAAGUGCCAUAACUUGAGCAAACUAUGCAGCCUGUAGCUCCACCUGGGAAGGUGUAAAAAAUCUGGGAGGCCACAAACCAUGGAAGCUGUACGCAUGGCGUAGUGGACUAGCGGUUAGAGGAGACCCCUCCCUGGCAAAUCGCAGCAACAAUGGGGGCCCAAGGUGAGAUGAAGCUGUAGUCUCACUGGAAGGACUAGAGGUUAGAGGAGACCCCCCCGAAAUAAAAAACAGCAUAUUGACGC